RNAcentral lists this long non-coding RNA (6481 nucleotides) under Capsicum annuum. RNAcentral's name for it is "long non-coding RNA (CANN_LNC022509)". The record is from RNAcentral. Lineage: Eukaryota; Viridiplantae; Streptophyta; Magnoliopsida; Solanales; Solanaceae.
AUAGGGAGAGGAAGAAGGAUCUGCACAUGGUAUUUAUUGACCUGGAGAAGGCUUACGACAAAGUCCCCAGGGAGGUGCUUUGAAGAUGCUUGGAGGUGAGUGGGGUACCGCUGGCAUAUAUCAGAGUAAUUAAGGAUAUGUAUGAUGCGGGAGGAGACUCGGAGCAUUUCACUGUCCUGACAGGAUUGCAUCAGGGAUCUACUCUUAGUCCCUUUUUGUUUGCGUUGGUGAUGGAUGUGGACGCGGCGUAUUCAAGGGGAGGUGCCAUGGUGUAUGCUUUUUGCAGACAAUGUAGUUCUGAUAGAUGAGACUCGAGGGGGUGUGAAUGACAAAUUAGAGGUGUGGAGGCGAACUCUUGAGUCUAAAGGGUUCAGGGUGAGCAGAAGCAAGACAGAGUAUGUGGAAUGCAAGUUUAAUGACGUGAGGCGGGAGAAUGAGGUAGUAGUGAAGCUGGAAGCACAGGAGGUAUGUAAGAGGGAUAAGUUCAAGUAUCUUGGGUACGUGAUCCAGAGUAACAGUGAGAUUGACGAGGAUGUCUCGCACCGUAUUGGGGCGGGAUGGAUGAAGUGGAAACUCGCAUCGGGGGUGCUGUGUGAUAAGAAGGUGCCGCCCAAGCUUAAAGACAAAUUCUACAGGGUGGUAGUCCGUCAGGCCUUGUUGUAUGGAGCGGAGUGUUGGCCAGUUAAGAACUCCCACAUCCAAAAAAUGAAGGUGGCAGAAAUGCGGAUGUUGCGCUGGAUGUGUGGACUGACCCGAGGGGAUAGAGUUCGGAAUGAGACUAUCCGGGAGAAGGUUGGUGUGACUUCAGUGGAGUGUAAGAUGCGGGAAGCACGAUUGAGAUGGUUCGGACACGUGAAGAGGAGGGGCACGGAUGCCCCGGUCCGUAGGUGUGAGAGGCUAGCGUUGGAUGGUUUUAGGCGGGGUAGGGGUAGGCCGAAGAAGUACUGGGGUGAGGUGAUUAGGCGGGACAUGGAACAGUUACAGCUCACCGAGGACAUGACCCUAGAUAGGAAGGUCUGGAGGACGCGAAUUACGGCAGAGGAUUAGGGCCAGUUCGGGUCGCUAGUGGAGGGAAUUACUUGGUGGGGGUUUUAUUCUUGUCAUGAUUCCGUGUUCCAUGUUGUAUUACGAAUCUGUGUGCUUUCCCCUGCUUUCCUCUGCUUUAUAUUACCUAUGGGUGCCGUAUUUAUGUUAUGUAAUCUGCUUCUGUGCUGCACUAUGUGUUUGUGUGGUAUCUCGUGCCUUGAGCCGGGGGUCUAUCGGAAACAGCCUUUCUACUUCAUCAGAGGUAGAAGUAUGGACUGCGUACAUCUUUCCCCCCCAGACCCCACUAGGUGGGAAUACACUGGGUUUGUUGUUGUUGUUGUUGUUGUCAUUAUUUGUUGGUAUAGUUCUUGUAUAAAGCUGAUUCUGGCCUUGUGAUUAAUGAAAUAUUUACCUGUUAAAACAAAAAGCUCUUUGCUUUGAGUACUAGAGACAUUAUCCAUUAUUUUACUUCUGAUCACAUUUAGUUUGUGUCUUAACUCUGGCUUAAAUUUUGCUUCUCAUUGUAAACUGCUACUGGUAGGUAAUUACGUAGCUUCAAAAGUUUCUGAGUGGAUUUAAGUGUACAUUAUUAGCUUAAAAAGUUUUACAAUAUCGUUUUUUUCAUUAACAUGUAAAAAAUUUCUGUAUUACAAUUUUGCAGUGUAUUAUAAGCACCCAAAGGAGUGUGACCUAGUGAUUAAUAAAUUGGUUUGAGAAUCAUGAGGUUUCUAGAUCAAACCCUGAGGACAUUAAAACACUAGGUGAUUUCUUCCAUUUGUGAUCUGUCCAAAUCUUGGUGGACAAAGCUACGUUGUACCUAUAUGAAUGGGAGGUAGCAGGUAUCCAUGGAGUUAGUCAGGGUGCACAAGCUAGCUCGAACACUAUGGUUAUUAAAUAAAGUAUGGUUUAAUCGAUUAUAGUAGGUUAUUCACUUUCUUUCUAGGUUUUAUGGUUACUUGCAGUUGUAAACAACAUGAUAGCUUAUGAACAGAAUAUUUACAAUUAGAUAGUUUUACUUUUCUUUCUAGUUGUAAAUAAAAGAUGUUCCUCUGUUGGUCGGUAAAAGGUAAACACCCAUAUGAUCACCUCGUCCUUUUUCCUUCCAUGUCAUUUUAUGCCAGCUUUUUUGGUCUUAAAAUUGCUUUUUUCGAUUUCUAUCAUCAUAUGUUAUUUAUGGUGUUUCGCUUGUUGCACUAUUUUGUUGUUGUUACUCCUUCCUUAUUAGUUGCUAUGUUUUCUUAAUUGUCGUUUCCCUUUUAAUACCUACUUUUAUUUGAUGUACUCGAGCGAGGGUCCUCCGGAAACAGCCUCUCUACCUCCAUGAGGUAGGGGUAAGGUCUGCUACGCUCUACCCUCCCCAGACCCCGUUUUUGGAUUUCACUGGGCAUGUUGUUGUUGUUGUUUUGGUCUUAAGACCUGAAGGGGUCUACUAGGUUCUUCAAUUUUAUCUUCAGUCAUCUGAUUGUUUCCACAAACAUGCAUGUCCAAUAACUUGUUACUGAUUGAUAAGCUGGAUGCCUUUAUGUGCAUAAGCUGUUAUCUUGUUUUGUUCCAUGAAUAAUUGCAUUUGCUUAGUUUUUACCUUAAAAGAGAAAUAUGUUUUCCACUUACAUAAACCUUUCUUCAACAUUAUCCUGAGAAGAGUUCUUUUUUACAGGUUGGUUAUAUUGCCCUAAAUAUGGUGAUAAAAUCGGUCUUAUCAUCCCAUCAAAAGUGCCUCUAAGUGAGUCAUUCGACAAGAUCCCUACUGGAGAAAGUUUCACUCCAAAAGACUUAAUCGGCUCGCAAAGACGUUUAGGGAGAGAAGUAAGUAGGGUGGACAAGAUUUUCUUCUGGUUAUCACGUUUACUAUUUGCUUAUUCUCUUCCUCUCCACCCUUGACAGUUGCCAACAAGGUUAACUUGGUGAUAAUUGUCUUGAUACUCCCUCCAUUCGCUUUUACUUGUCACUAUUUUCCUAAUUUGAUUUCUAUAUUUACUUGUCAUUUUUGACAAAUCAAGAAGAGACAAUUUUUUUCCCAUGUUUUACCCUUUGCAUUAAUUACUUAUUCUUCAAAUCAUUUUCCAAUACCUAUUACUAAAUAUCAAUUAAUAGGGGUAAUAUAGUAAAAUUACUAUACCAAUUAUUAUUUUCUUAAUAGGUGUGCCAUGUCAAAAAGUGACAAGUAAAACCGAACGGAGGGAGUACUAUCUUAGUUGAUUUAUUGGAUAUAUAACCGAUAUCUUUCUGCACCAAUUUGUCUCCUUAAUUGCCGUCUGAAGAGUCAUUGCAUUGUAGUUCUCUCUUCUGUUUCACUCUUGUUUCUUACACUCUUUUAACGGUCAGUGUACGUUGCCUUUUGUUUUGGUCAUGCUUCAUUAGUGACCUUUUGUUUCUGACUUGGUUAAUUCCUGAGAAAUUCAAACUAAUUUUAUUUUGAUCUGCUUGGACAACGGGUUAUAUGUAUGUCUGUAUGUUUACUGUGUUUGGCUUUUUUUAUUUUUUAUUUUUUUAUAUAUUUUGGGGGUAGGAGAUGUCUAAUGAAAGUUAAAGUAAUAAUGCAAGCAUUCUUUUGUCUUUUUGAAUGGAAAUUAUCCAAGUAUCUAUAUUAAACAGAAGUAUCCAAAGGAAAAACAAAAAACCUUUACAUCAUUAAACAUUUUUUCCAUCAUAAAGGAAAACCUUUGGCUGGAUCCAGUAUUUUUUGAGUCGAGUCUUGUGAGAUUUUAAAAUGGUUUGUUGAUAAAAGGAGUUAGCUGUUGUAUAAGUAAAGAGUCAAAGAAAAGAUUUUCAAAAGAAAGAAAUUGAACGUAUGGGGACCUUCUCUCAUUUACAUCCGAAAGAUUCUGGAGGACCUAACGUCUCUGAGUUUAUAGGACAAGUAUAUAUGUGUUCACUGUCAUCAUUCAGAUAUAUAUAGCUCAAAAGUGGUGGCUGCAGAGACUCCUGCCUAUUUAUUUGGUAGUUCUGGUAGUGAAGCACUGAAGCUAGAAUAUUCUGUUUGUGUGUGAAUUGACAACUUCUAGAAGUCUUACAGAAGAAUGUACAUUUACGUUUAUAGCAUGUUAUAUGCGGGUUAGGAGCAUGUCACAGGUUCCAACCCUUCCACAGGCAAAAACAUGAUAUUUGAGUGGAGAAGGGUAGAGGCAGGCCUAUUAUCCACCAUUUUCUGAACCGUGCGCCACUGGCAUGAGAUUUUUUCAGUUGAAAAAAAGAGAGAGAAAAGGAAUGUGCAUCCAUAUCAGCUUUCUUUGUGUCAUCUCUUCUUAUGCUUGCUCACAUUUAAUCUUCUUACUAGUUGGAUUUUCAAUGCCUGCCCUAUAUAUAAUUAUCACCUUAUUGUUAGCUGAAUAGCCGUCAUCUACGUUUGGCAUUACUAACACUCAUUGCAGAUAGGACUGGUGGUUGAUUUGACAAACACGGAUCGUUACUAUCCAGAAUCAGAUUGGACCAGUCACGGUAUUAGACAUGUUAAGGUAAAUAUAAACAGUACUGGUUAUAAAAAAAGGUAAAUAUGAACAGUACUCUAUAUCCUAUUCGAUCUCAUGGUUAAGUGGCCAGUUAUAUGCUAUGUGUUUAUCCAGAUUCGAUGCCCGGGUCAGGACUCUGUACCUGAUGAUGAGUCUGUAAAUAGAUUUAUUUCUGAGGUAACUCCUUUGACUGUCACUUGCAUAUCAUCUUUCGUCAUGCUCUGCAUGCCUGGGAAGGGUGCCAGCAGCGUGAUAAUUACUUUUUACUUUGCUGAGAUUCUCAUCUUCAGAACUUGUAUUGAUUGCAGGUUGUGCAAUUUACAUCUCAAGAAUCUCAAGCAAGUAAGUAUGCUGUUGUCCACUGCACUCAUGGUCACAACCGAACAGGCUAUAUGAUUGUACAUUUUCUUGUACGUACUCAGUCAGUUAGUGUUAGUGAGGUUAGUAAUCUUAUUCAUUUUAUACCAACUCUUCUCUUCUUAGGAUUCCGACAUAAUCUAUAAAAUUUGUGUCUUAUCUUCAGGCUAUAACAACGUUUGCGCAAGCACGCCCUCCUGGAAUUUACAGACAGAAGUAUGUUGAGGCGUUAUAUGACUUCUAUUUACAAGCGAAGCCUGAACCUUUGGUUUGUCCCCAAACUCCAGAAUGGAAGAAAAAUUCUGAUCAAGAUAAUGAAGUUGUUGCUCCUUCUUCUGUAAGUAGUUCCUUUGGGAUUAUUGGUGAACCAUUGCUGCAUUGAUAUUUGACAUUUGUCAUAGGUUCAAAGUGGAGCACUUAGGGGUCGUUUGGUAGCUGGUUUAGACAUGAGUUAUACCAUGUUUGGUAGUGAGUUAGUAAGUUAACCAUGUAUAAAUUUAAUACGGUAUUUGGUUUGCAAUUUAGAAACCCACAUAACUUAUACAUGUAUAAGUUAUGAGGGAAUCUAAUAUAUUAUUUUAUGCUUGAUAGAAGGUGGAAUGAGUAAUACAUGAAUAACUAAACCCUGCCUAACUAAUCCUUGCAUAAAAUAAUACAUAAUUCCCUCAUAACUAAUCCAUGUAUUACUGAUACCUACAUAACUCUAACUAGCUACCAAACGACCCCUUAGUGCACUAUUUUGAAAUGAUGAAAGAUCGUGCGUGAAUCAAUUAUUAGUUACUACGAGGAGCACUUUGCUUAUAGAUGUGAAUGUGGUACUUGGAUGAGUACGACAUUACAAUCACACACUGCAUAAGUUUUUUUUUUUUUUUGUGUAAAAGUUUUUAAUCAUAAGGUACUAAGAUGGUACAAGACCAAGUACAAGACAAAGCUACAACAUCUCCACAGACAUACUACAUAUUCCUUCCUAAAAGAUCCAGAAAAUCCAAAUAUUGAUCCAUCCUAUCUAAUACUGCUAUAACACCAAAAGAGCAGGUUUUUGAUACAUCUAUUACGCUAGCAAUCUGUGGUCUUUUCUGUUCAAAGCAUGUCUUGUUCCUUCCCAGCCAAACAAUCCAAAAUAUGCAAAUGGGAAUAAUCCUCCAUGAUUGUUUCAUACUUCUCUUUACUCUUUGAGCUUGCCAAACUUCCAACAGACUACUGAUUUUCUUUGGUAUAAUCAGAGAUACACCCAUCAUGUUCAGAAACAAUUCCCAGCAUUGUCUUGAGAAACUACAAUUGUUCAUCGACCUAGAAAAGGCGUACGACAAAGUCCCCAGGGAGGUGCUUUGGAGAUGCUUGGAGGUGAGUGGAGUACCGCAGGCAUAUAGCAGAGUAAUUAAGGAUAUGUAUGAGGGAGCGAAAACCCAGGUGAGGACGGCGGGAGGAGACUCAGAGCAUUUCACUGUCCUGACAGGAUUGCAUCAGGGAUCUACUCUUAGUCCCUUUUUGUUUGCGUUAGUAAUGGAUGUGUUGACGCGGCGUAUCCAAGGGGAGGUGCCGUGGUGUAUGCUUUUUGCAGACGAUGUAGUCCUGAUAGAUGAGACGCGAGGGGGUGUGAACGACAAAUUAGAGUUGUGGAGGCAAACUCUGGAGUCUAAAGGGUUCAG